Molecule: unclassified non-coding RNA, 287 nt
Filed under: Hevea brasiliensis (rubber tree)
Lineage: Eukaryota; Viridiplantae; Streptophyta; Magnoliopsida; Malpighiales; Euphorbiaceae
Source: RNAcentral
GAUAUUUCGAUAUCAGCAACUGAAAUCUCAAUAGAUUGCUGACAUUGUACAUAAUCACAUCAUGUUUUUAGUUGUCUAAUCUAAAAGUUGCACUAACCCCUCAAGUUGUAAAUGCUGCCAUUCAAUAAUAUUUGACGGGUUGAAGAUUCACUUGCUCUCUUGAUUACUUAUUAUAUUUCUUGGUAUGAUACCUGACACUGAUAAGUAUUAGCACCUUUGCAAGAUGCAAACCAUGCUGCUUGUGAGUUGCAGAAAUGGUGCAGCCUUGAAUUCCUCGGUUUGUUCCG